RNAcentral lists this long non-coding RNA (1185 nucleotides) under Marmota monax (woodchuck). The record is from RNAcentral. Lineage: Eukaryota; Metazoa; Chordata; Mammalia; Rodentia; Sciuridae.
CUCUUACCAAUAGGCAAAUCAGGGACACACUGCACUGGGCCAGAGAGCUGCCUGUUAGAGCUAGCAUUAGGAGUUCUUUAAAUAAUGAAGUUGUCAUUCCAAUUCAAAAUGCUUUAAAUAAUUUCCCAAGGAAUACCAGCCAUCUGGUUGGUGUUCAUCAGUAUUUUCAUUUAACAUUUUAGUUUUAUCAAAUUUUUUAAAUUAAGAAUUAGAAUCAUAGCUACUAUCAGGAUACAUAUACACAGGUGUGCAUGCCAGUGUUAACAGAUUGUGCAAAAGUUCAAAUCCGCUUCAAAAAGCCAAAACUUAGGAUAGACCAUGUUAUUAGUCUGGAAAUAAAAACAUCAUCAGCUCUUCCAACGCCCACUGCCAAAUUCAAUUUUGCUUUUUGUUUUUGGUUUUUUUCCCCCCCUUUACUCUUCCAAGAUCAUAUGGGAGGAAACCCCUUCCCGACUAAGACUUGGUUAUAAAAAUUGUGUUAUUGAAUUUCCACAUUCAGAAUACAUUUUUCUGUCCAUCCAUCCCCCAUGCUCUUACCUAGGUCUGGGCCCACGGCCAUAUGCUUGUGUUUACAGAGAUUGUUCUGACUUAAGUCAGCUUUCCAGUGCAGCCACGGCACAGCCAAGGAGUUUUCUCCAAGGUCUUUGCUAACCUUUGCAUUUAGUCCCCAUGUGGCCGUUGGGGUCCAGUCCUCCUAGGAAUGGUGCUGCUCUGCUAGGCCUCAGACUGAUAGUGCUGGGAAAGAGCAAGUCAAGGAGGACCCAGACCCUCUUCUCUCCACCCACCACAGGAAGAUCAAGCCCCUAGGAUCCCUCUUGCACUCUUGGGCAGGCCAUCUGCCAGGAUCCUACCUCUGGCCUCACCCUGAGCUUGGCUCUGCCUCUGCUCUCAGAGAUAGAGUGGGGGUUCCUCCUGUGAGACCUGUCAUGCCUUCCAGGGGUCAGGCUGGGGAAGGGACUGGGAUUAAAAGGCCCAUCCAACCCAGAGAAAGAUGCCCAGCCUGGCUGGAGUCUCCCAGGAACUUUAGAAAAGAUAGAAGCUUUGGGACAGACCUGGAUGAAGAUGUGCCCAAUGUGGGUAGAGCUGAGGGCCACAUUCUGGAGCCCUUUCCUCAGCCACAGUGAGCAGUAGCCAUUCUGAAGCCCCAGGACUCGCUCACUCUCCUCCUGAUGGUGGACAAGUGGC